GCAGGGCUAGUUUAUGAAAAAUGUUGGCCUGUGGAGCCAAAGAAAGUGAUUUAUCACUGCCUUGCU
RNAcentral lists this transfer RNA (66 nucleotides) under Nipponacmea nigrans. RNAcentral's name for it is "tRNA-His". It matches the Rfam family "tRNA". From Rfam's summary of the family: Transfer RNA (tRNA) molecules are approximately 80 nucleotides in length. Their secondary structure includes four short double-helical elements and three loops (D, anti-codon, and T loops). The record is from RNAcentral. Lineage: Eukaryota; Metazoa; Mollusca; Gastropoda; Lottiidae.